CCCCAUCAAAUACAAAAGAAACACACUCAUGGUCUCUGAUAGAGGAAUGUCAAUAGGGUGAAGCUUUAAAAGAAUCCUGUAAUAAUGGAUCGUGUUUUUUUUGUCUGACAUUUUGAAUGAAAACACUGACUCACAGCUGAGGUGCUGAAAGAGUGUCUCCGUUUCAUGACAUUAGUUCCCGUCUUUGUUUGGAAUAAAUUCCUACUUUGAGUCUUGGCCUUCGUUCUAAUAUCCCAAACUACUGCACAUGGGAAUGCGUGAAACGUACUCCUCAGAUUGAAGUGUCGUCACGACGCUCUGACGGAAUUUUUGUAACUUGACUGGAGGGCAGUCACGUGUGCUAGCAGAGCAGAGGUCCUGGGUUUGAGCUUCGGGAGGGCAGUCACGUGUGCUAGCAGAGCAGAGGUCCUGGGUUUGAGCUUCGGGAGGGCAGUCACGUGUGCUAGCAGAGCAGAGGUCCUGGGUUUGAGCUUCGGGAGGGCAGUCACGUGUGCUAGCAGAGCAGAGGUCCUGGGUUUGAGCUUCGGGAGGGCAGUCACGUGUGCUAGCAGAGCAGAGGUCCUGGGUUUGAGCUUCGGGAGGGCAGUCACGUGUGCUAGCAGAGCAGAGGUCCUGGGUUUGAGCUUCGGGAGGGCAGUCACGUGUGCUAGCAGAGCAGAGGUCCUGGGUUUGAGCUUCGGGAGGGCAGUCACGUGUGCUAGCAGAGCAGAGGUCCUGGGUUUGAGCUUCGGGAGGGCAGUCACGUGUGCUAGCAGAGCAGAGGUCCUGGGUUUGAGCUUCGGGAGGGCAGUCACGUGUGCUAGCAGAGCAGAGGUCCUGGGUUUGAGCAUCGAUGUGAGUCGAAUCAGGAGGAAGCGCUAAACGCUAAGCAAGUUGAUGUCCGUUACUCUAGCAUACCACUUAUAACGACCAAUACAUUACCGUCAGUCGAAAUAGUAUGCUUGUGUAUUGGAAUAAAACCCGAAAGACGCUCAAA
Molecule: long non-coding RNA, 976 nt
Organism: Oncorhynchus keta (chum salmon)
Lineage: Eukaryota; Metazoa; Chordata; Actinopteri; Salmoniformes; Salmonidae
Exons: 4
Source: RefSeq, a predicted model, not a curated record